This 491-nucleotide ribosomal RNA is filed under the name uncultured bacterium. RNAcentral describes it as "partial 16S ribosomal RNA". It matches the Rfam family "Bacterial small subunit ribosomal RNA", at positions 29 to 506 of the family's 1533-position model. The record is from RNAcentral.
AGUGAACGCUGGCGGUAGGCCUAACACAUGCCAGUCGAACGGCAGCACAGUAAGAGCUUGCUCUUACGGGUGGCGAGUGGCGGACGGGUGAGGAAUACAUCGGAAUCUACUUUUUCGUGGGGGAUAACGUAGGGAAACUUACGCUAAUACCGCAUACGACCUACGGGUGAAAGCAGGGGAUCUUCGGACCUUGCGCGAUUGAAUGAGCCGAUGUCGGAUUAGCUAGUUGGCGGGGUAAAGGCCCACCAAGGCGACGAUCCGUAGCUGGUCUGAGAGGAUGAUCAGCCACACUGGAACUGAGACACGGUCCAGACUCCUACGGGAGGCAGCAGUGGGGAAUAUUGGACAAUGGGCGCAAGCCUGAUCCAGCCAUACCGCGUGGGUGAAGAAGGCCUUCGGGUGGUAAAGCCCUUUUGUUGGGAAAGAAAAGCAGCAGGUUAAUACCCCGCUGUUCGGACGGUACCCAAAGAAUAAGCACCGGCUAACUUCGU